RNAcentral lists this ribosomal RNA (253 nucleotides) under uncultured bacterium. RNAcentral describes it as "partial 16S ribosomal RNA". It matches the Rfam family "Bacterial small subunit ribosomal RNA", at positions 524 to 776 of the family's 1533-position model. The record is from RNAcentral.
UACGUAGGGGGCUAGCGUUGUCCGGAAUCAUUGGGCGUAAAGAGCGUGUAGGCGGUCCGGUAAGUCCGCUGUGAAAGUCGGGGGCUCAACCCUCGAAUGCCGGUGGAUACUGUCGGGCUAGAGUGCGGAAGAGGCGAGUGGAAUUCCUGGUGUAGCGGUGAAAUGCGCAGAUAUCAGGAGGAACACCUAUUGCGAAGGCAGCUCGCUGGGACGUAACUGACGCUGAGGAGCGAAAGCGUGGGGAGCAAACAGG